This is a long non-coding RNA of Daucus carota subsp. sativus, 870 nucleotides long. RefSeq lists it as uncharacterized. The record is from RefSeq and is a predicted model, not a curated record. The transcript is spliced from 3 exons. NCBI's taxonomy places the organism in Eukaryota, Viridiplantae, Streptophyta, Magnoliopsida, Apiales, Apiaceae.
AAUAACUCUCCUCCUCUCGCCUCUAUGCUCUUCCCACCCCCUCUCCCCGUUUAUCUCUCCCGUCUCCCCUCUUUCUCACUCUCUCCUCUCCGCUCAUCUCUCUCGCACCUACUGCUCUUCUUUCUCGAUCAUCUCUUGUGCACAUAUCUUCAAAUCUUAAAAUCGAUUAGGACAGUAAUUUGAGCAAAACCCCAAAAUUGAUUAAAGUUUUAAUUGAUUCUGUUAAAGCUUUUAUUAGAAGUACAGUACUCACAAAAUUGAUUUAAUGUGUUUCUCACAAAAUCUGUCCUAGAUUAUAUCAGUGUGGUGAGGAUGGCCAUUUUGCCAGGGAUUGUCAUAAUGCGAGCCGUUAGGUUUCGGGAUGUGCUGCUGCGAUAGGCUUCAGUGAGUCGGACAGGUUAGAACAGAGAAGGUCUAGUUCUAAUGGGUUGCAAAUGGAAGAGAACCAACAGAAUGAUGUUAGUAAACCCUUUUUUGUCAUGAUAUGAGGCAGUUAAUAACUGCUUUGUGGAGCUCACUGAAGUUCACGUAGAAGAAGAUGAGUUGAACUGCUUUAUGGAGCCACUCAACAUAUGAUUUGAUUCUUAUGGAUUGUUAGAUGCCAAAGAGGGAUGGUUAUGAAACAACAAAAGCGAUAUGGAGAGCAGAGGUGGGCAGCAGUUCACUCAUCCCAAGUGCUUGCAAGUUGGCAUGGAUUUAAGCUAGCUCCUACAUAACCAUCCAAGGCCGAAGGACGUGCACAAGCCAUCAUAGCUAUUGUCGUGUAAAAAAAUGACAAGAUUUUUUUGUUUUUCAUUCUUUUAUUUCUUUCUUAUUUAAUUUUAGUAAAUUGUAAUCAAGGAAUUUUUAAAUGUGAUUUUUGGUUUGAUA